GACGAACGCUGGCGGCGUGCUUAACACAUGCAAGUCGAACGGAAAGGCCCUGCUUUUGUGGGGUGCUCGAGUGGCGAACGGGUGAGUAACACGUGAGUAACCUGCCCUUGACUUUGGGAUAACUUCAGGAAACUGGGGCUAAUACCGGAUAUGAGCUCCUGCUGCAUGGUGGGGGUUGGAAAGUUUCGGCGGUUGGGGAUGGACUCGCGGCGUAUCAGCUUGUUGGUGAGGUAGUGGCUUACCAAGGCUUUGACGGGUAGCCGACCUGAGAGGGUGACCGGCCACACUGGAACGGAGACGCGGUCCAGAGUCCUACGGGAGGCAGCAGUAGGGAAUCGUCGGCAAUGGGCGAGAGCCUGACGGAGGAACGCCGCGUGAGUGAUGAAGGUCUUCGGAGCGUAAAACUCUGUUAUUAGGGAAGAACAAAUGUGUAAGGAACUAUGCACGGCUUGACGGUACCUAAUCAGAAAGCCACGGCUAAAUACGUG
This 488-nucleotide ribosomal RNA is filed under the name uncultured bacterium. RNAcentral's name for it is "partial 16S ribosomal RNA". It matches the Rfam family "Bacterial small subunit ribosomal RNA", at positions 28 to 507 of the family's 1533-position model. The record is from RNAcentral.